This 73-nucleotide transfer RNA is filed under the name Botryobasidium botryosum FD-172 SS1. RNAcentral's name for it is "tRNA-Gln (TTG) (tRNA-Gln-TTG-1-1)". It matches the Rfam family "tRNA". From Rfam's summary of the family: Transfer RNA (tRNA) molecules are approximately 80 nucleotides in length. Their secondary structure includes four short double-helical elements and three loops (D, anti-codon, and T loops). Lineage: Eukaryota; Fungi; Basidiomycota; Agaricomycetes; Cantharellales; Botryobasidiaceae. The record is from RNAcentral.
GGUUGUAUAGUGUAGUCGGUUAUCACACCAGAUUUUGAUUCUGGUGACCCCGGUUCGAAUCCGGGUACGACCU